Molecule: long non-coding RNA, 360 nt
Filed under: Salmo salar (Atlantic salmon)
Lineage: Eukaryota; Metazoa; Chordata; Actinopteri; Salmoniformes; Salmonidae
Description: lncRNA (ENSSSAG00000102824.1)
Source: RNAcentral
CCAGUGUGUUCCGCUUAUGCCACCGGUAAGAACCAAUACCUGCUGCUGUCCUGCUCCUGGGAAGGUGGGUCUCCCAGGGCUGUGGUGUGGUGGGAGGUGCCUAAAGAAGAGGGGAGGGGCCAAGAAGUGGAGACCUCCAACAUCCUGGUACUUCGUUCUAACUCCACCCAGAAUGGACAGGCCUACACCUGCUACGCCAAACACCCCCUGGACACACGCACCAGGACCUGCAGCCUUGUCCCGGUCAGUAAGCCAUAUAUUCUUCUGAGUGAUGCAUCCCCUGCGGAGGGAUCUUCGGUGUGGCUGCGCUGCGGCCUGGAGAAUGGUACUGGGCCACUUUACUUCCUGUGGGAGCAUGAG